AAGGAAUAUUGGUCAAUGGACGAAAGUCUGAACCAGCCAUGCCGCGUGCAGGAUUAAGGCCCUAUGGGUCGUAAACUGCUUUUAUACGGGACAAAACCCCCCUACGUGUAGGGGGCUGAUGGUACUGUAAGAAUAAGGAUCGGCUAACUUCGUGCCAGCAGCCGCGGUAAUACGAAGGAUUCGAGCGUUAUCCGGAUUUAUUGGGUUUAAAGGGUGCGUAGGCGGACUGAUAAGUCAGUGGUGAAAGCCUGUUGCUUAACAACAGAACUGCCAUUGAUACUGCCAGUCUUGAGUACAGUUGAGGUAGGCGGAAUGUGUCAUGUAGUGGUGAAAUACUUAGAUAUGACACAGAACACCGAUUGCGAAGGCAGCUUGCUAAACUGUAACUGACGCUGAGGCACGAAAGCAUGGGGAGCAAAC
RNAcentral lists this ribosomal RNA (420 nucleotides) under uncultured bacterium. RNAcentral's name for it is "bacterial SSU rRNA". It matches the Rfam family "Bacterial small subunit ribosomal RNA", at positions 356 to 773 of the family's 1533-position model. The record is from RNAcentral.